Molecule: long non-coding RNA, 313 nt
Filed under: Mytilus galloprovincialis (Mediterranean mussel)
Lineage: Eukaryota; Metazoa; Mollusca; Bivalvia; Mytilida; Mytilidae
Source: RNAcentral
GGGGAGGGUUGGGAUCCUGCUAACAUGUUUAACCCCGCCACAUUAUUUAUGUAUGUGCCUGUCCCAAGUCAGGAGCCUGUAAUUCAGUGGUUGUCGUUUGUUUAUGUGUUACAUAUUUGUUUUUCGUUCAUUUUUUUUUUACAUAAAUAAGGCCGUUAGUUUUCUCGUUUGAAUUGUUUUACAUUGUCUUAUCGGGGCCUUUUAUAGCUGACUAUGCGGUAUGGGCUUUGCUCAUUGUUGAAGGCCGUACGGUGACCUAUAGUUGUUAAUGUCUGUGUCAUUUUGGUCUUUUGUGGAUAGUUGUCUUAUUGGC